GAAGGACCCGAAAGCACCAAUGCCAUGGAUAGGCCUAUACGCUGCCGUAGCAUCUCUAAUAUGGACUCUUUCACUUGUCAUUGAUUUAGUGAUCUCUGUCCGCCAAAGAAAAUUUUGGUUCCCUUGCAGAUAUUCUUCUCUCAACUCUGCUUCCUUGACUGUGUUAGCCAUCACAGUGAAGUUGUCAAUGGAUCUAACUACCCCGAUGGAAGGUAGGUAUGAUCAAGACGCUAAAGGUAGUAGCUCUGCUUUCCUGUGUGUUUCAACCCCUCAUUUCAUGCCUUCUUUGGGAUCCAUGAGUGAUAGAGAUAUAAUAGUGAACUUGACAGCAUUGGGUAUCCUUAUAGUGACGCUUACCGUAAAUGUUAUCAUCCAAAUAUCCACAGGCGUAAUUGAAGAUAAUUUCUAAGUGGUGGUUGUCUUUUUGAACGUUUAUGCUUUCAUUGUAUUGAGUUCUGCUGCUUUAACGGUAUUUACAAGUAAAAGGUAUUUGGAACGCAAGUACAAAGAAUUGCAAACAAGAAUUUUGGCAGCGGAACUACAAGGAGAACAAAUAAUGGACUUUGACAAGUUAAAGUUGUGCGUGAAAAAGUACUGAGCGAUGACAGAAACAGGUAACCCUCAGUUUCUGAUGGCACGAUCUGAGGCCAGCGUUGUUUUAUUCAUGAUCUGCAUCUUUCGUUAUAUCGAUAACGGAAUAACGUUUGACGAACCCUAUGAGACAAAUACUCCUCCUGAUUAUAAAUGGUCAGUAUAUUUUGUUUAUUGGACUCAAUAUGUAGGCUUGACUCUUUGAACUGUCAUGUCUUCGGGAAGACUUUUAGUAGCUUUAAUUCUCAUUGUACGGAAUAUUAGAAAAUGUACCAUCUCUAGUAUUUCCUUAGAAAUAAAGAAUUACGGGAUCAAAAGAUUGGUAGAGUGGAA
This 924-nucleotide long non-coding RNA is filed under the name Olea europaea subsp. europaea. Lineage: Eukaryota; Viridiplantae; Streptophyta; Magnoliopsida; Lamiales; Oleaceae. The record is from RNAcentral.